AUCUAGCAUUCAUGCAAAGGAAAUUCGAUCACGAAUUGAAAAAAAAAGGUGCGAGAAAGAGAAAUACAAACCUUUUUGUGGUGGCCAGGAGUUCGCGGCUUGUGAGAGAGCUUGAGAAAUUUGUUCUGGAAGCAAAUGGAAGAGCCCGAUUUUCCAUCAUUCUCUCCUUCCACGAUGAGCAACACGUGUAAAGGACUCUAGAACCAAAAGAAGAAAACAACGGGCAUCCUCAAUGUCACGAAUAUGUUAAUGAACAGUGCUCUCUCUCACACGAUGAACGGUGCUUUUCUGCUGGCUUUAAUUUAGUAGAUAGUAAUUUACAGUGGUGCACCUACCUUUUAUUUUUAACACACUUUUUAUUUGACUAAAUUAAAGAAAAAUAAAUAAAAAAAUUAAGAGGGGUAUGUGAGAAAUAAAAAAGUGUAUGAAUAAAAUCACCUUAAGUUUAUAUUCAUCUGCAUUAUGCAUCUGAUAAUUUUUGUCUUAUUUCGUAUGUUAUCCCAAGUACUGAGAUAUAAUGAUCGAGACUCCUAAUUUUAAUGGUGUUCUAGUUGUUGGUAAUUUGGUAUGUUCUAUGAUCAGUGUAUGCAAAUUUGAUUAUUUUAUGAUCAGUAGUGCAAGGGAGAACAUUUUUUCCACGUGUCGACUAAAGGAUGGAGGGGCAUCCAGCAGGUCAAGUCUACAUAUUCGGUGUAUCAAAUGCAAAAGCGGUGGAAGAAACAAGCCCAUGGACUUGGGGCUUAUUGAGAGCCUAAAUAAGUAGGACGAGUACUCCUUAGAAGGGAACUUUAACGAAAAGCUCCCGGUACUGUUCACUUUAACGAAAAACCACAUUUUUACACUAAAAAGUCAAUCCUGGUACUAUUCACUUUACCCUUUAUUUUGUCCUUAUCAUUAAAACUCAAAGUUUUCAAGCCCUUUUCAUUAGUUUUCCUUCCUUAGAACGGGUCAUGCAAAAAGAGAGAAAAAAGAGACUAGAUUAAUUAUGGCGAGCAUUUUUUUUCCAAAAAAAAAAAAAGAGGGAAAAAAGAGACUAGUUUAUGCCGAGCUUUUUUGGUUUCCUAAAAAAAUAGACUAGUUUAUGCCGACCAUUAUCCGUAACAUUUUAUUCAAUAUAUAUGAGUGACUCAGUAAACGUAGCACAAUUUUGAAGGGUUAACUACCUAAACGUUGUUGCCUAGUUCUAGUUGCAAUCCCCAGCCCACCAAGGGCCGACCACAGGGGUCUUUGUUAACCUCCGAAUUUUAAGCGUUAACAACGUGACAUGUGCACAUUACUUGUUAAGUCAGAUGGCACACAAUGUGGUACAAAAAUAUAGUCUCUCUAAAAAUUUCCUCUUUUGGUUAUCGUGUAUGAGCUGACCAGCUCUCCACAUCGCUAUGGACGAAUCUCCAGUUUUCAAGACAAGAACAAUUGUAGAAAAGGUUUUUCUCCAUAAGGUACAAAAGGUAUUUUUUUUCCUAGCAAUCCACUAGGGUAUGUUUUGUUUUAUACAAGUAGUAUUCAACUUUAAUCUCUACGUUCUCAAAUUUUUUUUGCAGUUUUGUUUACUUCCUAAAGUGAGAGUGAUGCUCACCCCUAUUGAUAGUCGUUAAAAUAGUUUAAAUUUCGAGAUUUGUGUCUUAAAUCAAUUAAAUUAAGGGAGUUUUAACGAAAAGCCCGCGGUACUGUUCACUUUAACGAAAAACCACAUUUUUACACUAAAAAGUCAAACCUGGUACUAUUCACUUUAUCCUUUAUUUUGUCCUUAUCGUUAAAACUCAAAGUUUUCAAGCCCUUUUCAUUAGUUUUCCUUUAAAUUAAACUAAUUUAACGGUUCAAUGGGGGAGGGUUGAGCAGCACCCCACUUUAGGGGGUAAGCAAAGUUGCACUCUUCUUUUUUUAGUAUUUGAUAAGUAUGUUGUCAAUAUUUGGUCAAUAUGCAGAGUACCUCAACUUACUUAUAAGCCCCAUGCAAGGUCCAUAAUGUCGGAGUCAUUCUCAACAUGCCCUCUCUCAUAUGGCGAACAUGGACAACACAAAUAGGUGACGUGGAGCAAGUUGUGGCCGUCGGGCUUCACACGUAGAACAACCUGCUCUUAUAGCAUGAAGAAAGUUGAGAUUUCUCUAUAAAAUCAAUUAAACCCAACUUAUUUAUAAAUUCAUGCAAGAUUUUUUUUAUUAUUAUUAUUAAAUUCAUUCUAAACAAUGAUACAGAAACUUGUAUGGUAGUAGGGCAUCAGUAGUAAAGAGAGAAAGUAGUGAACAUCAUACGGUGGAUGGCAAAUAUUUCCCUGCUAGUUAAUGAUUUAAUGAUUUCAAAGAUUGAACGAUAGUAAGAAAAGGUAGCAUUCGCUUUGACAAGAGGAAAGAAAAAUUAUGAAAUUCAAGUGGCGGGAGUCGUAUGAAAGAAAAACAAGCAUUGUUUUUCCUACAUUGUGAUUACAUAUUUUGACAGUUUUUCUUAAAUAUAAAUUUUGAGAAAUACUUGGUUCCUCAAAAUUCAGGAGGAGUUUUUUCUCAAGAUCAAGGUAUUAAAUAUCGAUAAUAUCGGAAAUAUCGGUAGUCCGAAAACACGGAAAUAUCAAUGGAAAUAUCGGGAUAAUAUCGAUAUCGAUAAAAAUAAUAUGGAAACCACGGAAAUUGUAAGAAAAACUUGGAAAUUUUUAUUGAAACUUUGCAGGAUGUUUAUUUAAUCAAUUAUCUAUUAGU
This 2691-nucleotide long non-coding RNA is filed under the name Malus domestica (apple). Its description in RNAcentral is "long non-coding RNA (MDOM_LNC010746)". Lineage: Eukaryota; Viridiplantae; Streptophyta; Magnoliopsida; Rosales; Rosaceae. The record is from RNAcentral.